AUUCCAUGAUGAAGGCACUUUCGUAAUAAUUCUUUGUACAUUUCCCAUGCCUCAUACAAGGACUCGACAUCCAUUUGUUGGAAAGUAGUGAUCUCAUUCCUUAACUU
Molecule: non-coding RNA, 107 nt
Organism: Gossypium raimondii (Peruvian cotton)
Lineage: Eukaryota; Viridiplantae; Streptophyta; Magnoliopsida; Malvales; Malvaceae
Source: Rfam